UACGUAGGGAGCAAGCGUUGUCCGGAAUUAUUGGGCGUAAAGGGCGCGUAGGCGGCCUGGCAAGUGGAAGGUGAAAUCCCUCGGCUUAACCGAGGAACUGCCUUCCAAACUGCUUGGCUUGAGUCCGGGAGAGGUGAGUGGAAUUCCCAGUGUAGCGGUGAAAUGCGUAGAUAUUGGGAGGAACACCAGUGGCGAAGGCGGCUCACUGGACCGGAACUGACGCUGAUGCGCGAAAGCGUGGGGAGCAAACGGG
RNAcentral lists this ribosomal RNA (253 nucleotides) under uncultured bacterium. RNAcentral's name for it is "partial 16S ribosomal RNA". It matches the Rfam family "Bacterial small subunit ribosomal RNA", at positions 524 to 776 of the family's 1533-position model. The record is from RNAcentral.